UACAAAAAGUCGGAGCCCGCAAGGGUGACGGCGUACCUUUUGUAUAAUGGGUCAGCGACUUACAUUCAGUGGCGAGGUUAACCGAAUAGGGAAGCCGUAGAGAAAUCGAGUCCGAAUAGGGCGAAUAGUCGCUGGGUGUAGACCCGAAACCAAGUGAUCUAUCCAUGGCCAGGAUGAAGGUACCGUAACAGGUGCUGGAGGUCCGAACCGACUAGUGUUGCAAAACUAGCGGAUGAGCUGUGGAUAGGGGUGAAAGGCUAAACAAACUUGGAAAUAGCUGGUUCUCUCCGAAAACUAUUUAGGUAGUGCCUCAAGUAUUACCUGCGGGGGUAGAGCACUGUUAAGGCUAGGGGGUCAUCCCGACUUACCAACCCUUUGCAAACUCCGAAUACCAGUAAGUACUAUCCGGGAGACACACGGCGGGUGCUAACGUCCGUCGUGGAGAGGGAAACAACCCAGACCGCCAGCUAAGGUCCCAAAUUAUUACUAAGUGGGAAACGAUGUGGGAAGGCUUAGACAGCUAGGAUGUUGGCUUAGAAGCAGCCAUCAUUUAAAGAAAGCGUAAUAGCUCACUAGUCGAGUCGGCCUGCGCGGAAGAUGUAACGGGGCUAAGCUAUAAACCGAAGCUGCGGCAAUGCGAUUUAUCGUAUUGGGUAGGGGAGCGUUCUGUAAGCCGUUGAAGGUGUGUUGUAAAGCAUGCUGGAGGUAUCAGAAGUGCGAAUGCUGACAUGAGUAACGAUAAAGGGGGUGAAAAACCUCCUCGCCGGAAGACCAAGGGUUCCUGUCCAACGUUAAUCGGGGCAGGGUAAGUCGACCCCUAAGGCGAGGCCGAAAGGCGUAGUCGAUGGGAACCAGGUUAAUAUUCCUGGGCCAGGAGAUGGUGACGGAUCACAGAGCUAGUUCUUCCUUAUCGGAUUGGAAGGGCUGGUGAGUGGUUCCUGGAAAUAGCCCUCCAUGAGACCGUACCCUAAACCGACACAGGUGGAUAGGUAGAGUAUACCAAGGCGCUUGAGAGAAGUAUCCUGAAGGAACUCGGCAAAUUGCCUCCGUACCUUCGGAAGAAGGAGGCCCUGAAUCGAGGCAACUCUUUUCAGGGGGCACAGGCCAGGGGGUAGCGACUGUUUAGCAAAAACACAGGGCUCUGCGAAGCAGCAAUGCGACGUAUAGGGUCUGACGCCUGCCCGGUGCCUGAAGGUUAAAGGGAGGAGUGAAAGCUCCGAACUGAAGCCCAGGUAAACGGCGGCCGUAACAAUAACGGUCCUAAGGUAGCGAAAUUCCUUGUCGGGUAAGUUCCGACCUGCACGAAUGGUGCAACGAUCUGGACACUGUCUCAGCCAUGAGCUCGGUGAAAUUGUAGUAUCGGUGAAGAUGCCGAUUACCCGCAGCGGGACGAAAAGACCCCGUGAACCUUUACUAUAGCUUCGUAUUGACUUUGGAUAAGUGAUGUGUAGGAUAGGUGGGAGACUUUGAAGCAGCAUCGCUAGGUGUUGUGGAGUCAUUGUUGAAAUACCACCCUUUGCUUAUCUAGAGCCUAACUCAGCAAUGAGAACAGUGCGUGGUGGGUAGUUUGACUGGGGUGGUCGCCUCCAAAAGAGUAACGGAGGCUUCUAAAGGUACCCUCAGCACGCUUGGUAACCGUGCGUAGAGUGCAAUGGCAUAAGGGAGCUUGACUGAGAGACAUACAGGUCGAUCAGGUACGAAAGUAGAGCAUAGUGAUCCGGUGGUUCCGUAUGGAAGGGCCAUCGCUCAAAGGAUAAAAGGUACUCCGGGGAUAACAGGCUGAUCCCUCCCAAGAGCUCACAUCGACGGGGGGGUUUGGCACCUCGAUGUCGGCUCGUCACAUCCUGGGGCUGGAGAAGGUCCCAAGGGUUGGGCUGUUCGCCCAUUAAAGUGGCACGCGAGCUGGGUUCAGAACGUCGUGAGACAGUUCGGUCUCUAUCUGUAGUGGGCGUUAGAAAUUUGAGUGGAUCUGACUUUAGUACGAGAGGACCGAGUUGGACUGACCUCUAGUGUACCAGUUGUCUCGCCAGGGGCACUGCUGGGUAGCUACGUCGGGAAGGGAUAAGCGCUGAAAGCAUAUAAGCGCGAAACCCACCACAAGAUGAGAUUUCUUUAAAGGGUCGUUAUAGACGAUGACGUAGAUAGGUUGUAGGUGUAAAGGUAGUAAUAUCAAAGCCGAGCAAUACUAAUUACCCG
This 2196-nucleotide ribosomal RNA is filed under the name Oratosquilla oratoria. RNAcentral's name for it is "bacterial LSU rRNA". It matches the Rfam family "Bacterial large subunit ribosomal RNA", at positions 565 to 2911 of the family's 2925-position model. The record is from RNAcentral. Lineage: Eukaryota; Metazoa; Arthropoda; Malacostraca; Stomatopoda; Squillidae.